UGCCAGCCGCCGCGGUAAUACGGAGGGGGCUAGCGUUAAUCGGAAUUACUGGGCGUAAAGCGCGCGUAGGCGGUUUGUUAAGUGGGAUGUGAAAGCCCCGGGCUCAACCUGGGAACUGCACUCCAAACUGGCAGACUAGAGUAUGGUAGAGGGUGGUAGAAUUUCCUGUGUAGCGGUGAAAUGCGUAGAUAUAGGAAGGAAUACCGAUGGCGAAGGCAGCCACCUGGACCAAUACUGACGCUGAGGUGCGAAAGCGUGGGGAGCAAACAGGAUUAGAUA
Molecule: ribosomal RNA, 279 nt
Filed under: uncultured bacterium
Lineage: Bacteria
Description: partial 16S ribosomal RNA
Rfam family: Bacterial small subunit ribosomal RNA
Source: RNAcentral